AUGGGGAACUGCUUCGGCUCCGAGGAAACCGAAUUAGAGAGGGUGAACACACCGGGCCAUCAUGGACAACUCCAACCCCAAGCAGCUUGCCAUCUUUUCCUAAUUCAGUUCUCUCUUCUCUGUCACACUGAUCUCUUGUUUGCCGCAGCAACCGAGAGCCGCAGUCUUCCACCCAUGUCUGCACCCCAUGCCAGACAGUCCCGGGGCUUGUCCAUGAGCGUCAUCACCAGCAGAAGUAGCAGUGGCACUAGCAACAUAUCAGCGGCUUUUUUGGAGCCGGAGGAGGGUAUGAUCCUGGAGGUGCCCAACCUGCGCGUUUUCACGUUCAUCGAGCUCAAGGCCGCGACCAGGAAUUUCAAGCCCAACAACCUACUUGGUGAGGGCGGGUUCGGGCGGGUUUACAAGGGCUGGGUCGACCAGAAGACGAUGAACCCCAUGAGUAGCGGCAUUGGCAGCGCCAUGGUUAUUGCCGUCAAGAAGCUCAACCCGGGGAGUAGACAGGGUCUUGAAGAAUGGCAGUGUGAGGUGAACUUUCUCGGGAGGAUGUCGCAUCCGAACCUGGUGAGGCUGCUGGGGUACUGCUUGGAGGAGAGGGAGCUCUUGCUUGUGUACGAGUUCAUGGCCAAUGGGAGCUUGGAGAAUCAUCUCUUCAGAAGGAAAAGUGAAAGAGAUGGAGAAGGCGGCUCCGUCCACCCAAUCUCAUGGGCCCUGCGGUUACGGAUCGCAAUCGGCGCGGCACGCGGCCUCGCCUUCUUGCACUCGUCAGACAAGCAUGUCAUCUACCAAGACUUCAAGUCCUCCAACAUCCUCCUCGACACGCACUACAAUGCCAAGAUAUCCGACUUCGGCCUCGUCAGGAAUGGCCCGGCCGAGGGCGACAACCAUGUCACCACCCGCAUCAUGGGCACCUACGGCUACGCCGCACCGGAGUACGUCUCGACAGGUCACCUGUACGUGAAGAGCGACGUCUACGGGUUCGGCGUGGUGCUGCUGGAGAUGCUCACCGUUCUGCGCGCGCUCGACACGGCCCGGUCGGCGCCUCAGCUCAACCUCGUGAGUUGGGCCAGACCGUACCUGGCGGACUGCCGGAGGCUGCCGCAGCUGGUAGACCCGCACCUGGAAGGGCAGUACACGUCGAGGGCCGCCCUGCGAGCCGCGCAGCUCACCAUGAGCUGCCUCGCCGGCGACCCCAAGGAUCGGCCCUCCAUGGCCGAGGUCGUCGCGGCGCUCGAGAAGAUCGAGCGCGUGCAGCCGCCGCCGCCGCUGCCGCAGCACAGGCUCGUCUCGCCUCGGGCUGCCGCGGGGACCGUGCACGGGCUCGCGCAGACGCGUAUACCUACACGGCUACACGUACAGCUGUACUGCACUGAUCUUUCAAUUUCAACGUAA
Molecule: ribosomal RNA, 1389 nt
Filed under: Triticum aestivum (bread wheat)
Lineage: Eukaryota; Viridiplantae; Streptophyta; Magnoliopsida; Poales; Poaceae
Description: partial small subunit ribosomal RNA
Source: RNAcentral